GAUGAACGCUGGCGGCGUGCCUAACACAUGCAAGUCGAACGAACAGACCAGGCGCUUGCGCCUUUGACGUUAGCGGCGGACGGGUGAGUCACACGUGGAUCAUCCACCUAUCAUACUGGGAUCAUCUCGGGAAACCGGCUCAAAUCCCGGAUAAUCUACUGAACCGCAUUGGUCAAUAGAGAAAGUCGGCUUUUCUGUCUCUUCUCGCUGCAUACGGGCUGCAUUAGCUAGUUGGUAGGGUAACGGCCUACCAAGGCGACGAUGCGUAGCCGACCUGAGAGGGUGAUCGGCCACACGGGAACGGAGACACGGUCCAGACGCCUACGGGAGGCAGCAGUAGGGAAUCCUAGGCAAUGGGCGAAAGCCUGACGGAGCGAGGCCGCGUGAGUGAUGAAGGUGUUCGGAGCGUAAAACUGUGUUACUGGGGAAGAACAGAUGUGUAAUUAGCUGUGGAGGUCUUGACGGUACCUGAUCAGAAAGCAACGGCUAACUACGUG
This 497-nucleotide ribosomal RNA is filed under the name uncultured bacterium. RNAcentral's name for it is "partial 16S ribosomal RNA". It matches the Rfam family "Bacterial small subunit ribosomal RNA", at positions 28 to 507 of the family's 1533-position model. The record is from RNAcentral.